GACGAACGCUGGCGGCGUGCCUAAUACAUGCAAGUAGAACGCUGAAGGAGGAGCUUGCUCUUCUGGAUGAGUUGCGAACGGGUGAGUAACGCGUAGGUAACCUGCCUGGUAGCGGGGGAUAACUAUUGGAAACGAUAGCUAAUACCGCAUAAGAGUAGAUGUUGCAUGACAUUUGCUUAAAAGGUGCAAUUGCAUCACUACCAGAUGGACCUGCGUUGUAUUAGCUAGUUGGUGGGGUAACGGCUCACCAAGGCGACGAUACAUAGCCGACCUGAGAGGGGGAUCGGCCACACUGGGACUGAGACACGGCCCAGACUCCUACGGGAGGCAGCAGUAGGGAAUCUUCGGAAAUGGACGGAAGUCUGACCGAGCAACGCCGCGUGAGUGAAGAAGGUUUUCGGAUCGUAAAGCUCUGUUGUAAGAGAAGAAAGAGUGUGAGAGUGGAAAGUUCACACUGUGACGGUAUCUUAACAGAAAGGGACGGCUAACUACGUG
This 495-nucleotide ribosomal RNA is filed under the name uncultured bacterium. RNAcentral's name for it is "partial 16S ribosomal RNA". It matches the Rfam family "Bacterial small subunit ribosomal RNA", at positions 28 to 507 of the family's 1533-position model. The record is from RNAcentral.